AGAUUGAACGCUGGCGGCAUGCCUUACACAUGCAAGUCGAACGGCAGCACGGGAGCAAUCCUGGUGGCGAGUGGCGAACGGGUGAGUAAUACAUCGGAACGUGCCCAGUUGUGGGGGAUAGCCCGGCGAAAGCCGGAUUAAUACCGCAUACGACCUACGGGUGAAAGCGGGGGAUCGCAAGACCUCGCGCUAUUGGAGCGGCCGAUGUCGGAUUAGCUUGUUGGUAGGGUAAAAGCCUACCAAGGCUACGAUCCGUAGCUGGUCUGAGAGGACGACCAGCCACACUGGGACUGAGACACGGCCCAGACUCCUACGGGAGGCAGCAGUGGGGGAAUUUUGGGACAAUGGGGACGAAAGCC
RNAcentral lists this ribosomal RNA (359 nucleotides) under uncultured soil bacterium. Its description in RNAcentral is "bacterial SSU rRNA". It matches the Rfam family "Bacterial small subunit ribosomal RNA", at positions 26 to 383 of the family's 1533-position model. The record is from RNAcentral.